GGGAAUAUUGCACAAUGGGCGAAAGCCUGAUGCAGCCAUGCCGCGUGUAUGAAGAAGGCCUUCGGGUUGUAAAGUACUUUCAGUUGUGAGGAAGGGUGUGUAGUUAAUAGCUGCGCAUCUUGACGUUAGCAACAGAAGAAGCACCGGCUAACUCCGUGCCAGCAGCCGCGGUAAUACGGAGGGUGCGAGCGUUAAUCGGAAUUACUGGGCGUAAAGCGCAUGCAGGUGGUUCAUUAAGUCAGAUGUGAAAGCCCGGGGCUCAACCUCGGAACUGCAUUUGAAACUGGUGAACUAGAGUACUGUAGAGGGGGGUAGAAUUUCAGGUGUAGCGGUGAAAUGCGUAGAGAUCUGAAGGAAUACCAGUGGCGAAGGCGGCCCCCUGGACAGAUACUGACACUCAGAUGCGAAAGCGUGGGGAGCAAACAGGAUUAGAUACCCUGGUAGUCCACGCCGUAAACGAUGUCUACUUGGAGGUUGUGGCCUUGAGCCGUGGCUUUCGGAGCUAACGCGUUAAGUAGACCGCCUGGGGAGUACGGUCGCAAGAUUAAAACUCAAAUGAAUUGACGGGGGCCCGCACAAGCGGUGGAGCAUGUGGUUUAAUUCGAUGCAACGCGAAGAACCUUACCUACUCUUGACAUCCAGAGAAGCCAGCGGAGACGCAGGUGUGCCUUCGGGAGCUCUGAGACAGGUGCUGCAUGGCUGUCGUCAGCUCGUGUUGUGAAAUGUUGGGUUAAGUCCCGCAACGAGCGCAACCCUUAUCCUUGUUUGCCAGCGAGUCAUGUCGGGAACUCCAGGGAGACUGCCGGUGAUAAACCGGAGGAAGGUGGGGACGACGUCAAGUCAUCAUGGCCCUUACGAGUAGGGCUACACACGUGCUACAAUGGCGCAUACAGAGGGCAGCAAGCUAGCGAUAGUGAGCGAAUCCCAAAAAGUGCGUCGUAGUCCGGAUUGGAGUCUGCAACUCGACUCCAUGAAGUCGGAAUCGCUAGUAAUCGUGAAUCAGAAUGUCACGGUGAAUACGUUCCCGGGCCUUGUACACACCGCCCGUCACACCAUGGGAGUGGGCUGCAAAAGAAGUGGGUAGUUUAACCUUUCGGGGAGGACGCUCACCACUUUGUGGUUCAUGACUGGGGUGAAGUCGUAACAAGGUAGCCCUAGGG
RNAcentral lists this ribosomal RNA (1160 nucleotides) under Vibrio cyclitrophicus. RNAcentral's name for it is "bacterial SSU rRNA". It matches the Rfam family "Bacterial small subunit ribosomal RNA", at positions 357 to 1507 of the family's 1533-position model. The record is from RNAcentral. Lineage: Bacteria; Pseudomonadati; Pseudomonadota; Gammaproteobacteria; Vibrionales; Vibrionaceae.